AACGAACGCUGGCGGCAGGCCUAAUACAUGCAAGUCGAACGGGCGUAGCAAUACGUCAGUGGCGGACGGGUGAGUAACACGUGGGAACAUGCCUUUCGGUUCGGAAUAACGCAGGGAAACUUGCGCUAAUACCGGAUGACCCGGCGACGGAAAAGAUUUAUCGCCGAAAGAUUGGCCCGCGUAGGAUUAGCUAGUUGGUGAGGUAACGGCCCACCAAGGCGACGAUCCUUAGCUGGUUUGAGAGAACGAUCAGCCACACUGGGACUGAGACACGGCCCAGACUCCUACGGGAGGCAGCAGUAGGGAAUCUUGGACAAU
RNAcentral lists this ribosomal RNA (318 nucleotides) under uncultured bacterium. RNAcentral describes it as "bacterial SSU rRNA". It matches the Rfam family "Bacterial small subunit ribosomal RNA", at positions 29 to 372 of the family's 1533-position model. The record is from RNAcentral.